GUGCCGGGAGCUUACCAUGCAAGUCGAGGGGUAACAUGAGGUAGCAAUACUUUGAUGACGACCGGCGCACGGGUGAGUAACGCGUAUGCAACCUACCCUGUACAGGGGGAUAGCCCGGAGAAAUUCGGAUUAAUACCCCAUAAAGAUAUUGAGAGGCAUCUUUUAAUAUUUAAAGUUUCGGCGGUACGGGAUGGGCAUGCGUAACUUUAGCUAGUUGGUAGGGUAACGGCCUACCAAGGCUACGAUGUUUAGGGGACCUGAGAGGGUGAUCCCCCACACUGGUACUGAGACACGGACCAGACUCCUACGGGAGGCAGCAGUGAGGAAUAUUGGUCAAUGGACGGAAGUCUGAACCAGCCAUCCCGCGUGCAGGAAGAAGGCGCUAUGCGUUGUAAACUGCUUUUCUGAGGGAAGAAAACCCCCGACGUGUCGGGGCUUGUCGGUACCUUGGGAAUAAGCAUCGGCUAACUCCGUGCCAGCAGCCGCGGUAAUACGAAGGAUGCGAGCGUUAUCCGGAUUUAUUGGGUUUAAAGGGUGCGUAGGCGGACCGAUAAGUCAGUGGUGAAAACCUGCAGCUUAACUGUAGACGUGCCAUUGAUACUGUCGGACUUGAGUAUGGUCAAGGUAGGCGGAAUGUGUAAUGUAGCGGUGAAAUGCUUAGAUAUUACACAGAACACCGAUUGCGAAGGCAGCUUGCUGGACCAUUACUGACGCUGAUGCACGAAAGCGUGGGGGAGCGAACAGGAUUAGAUACCCUGGGUAGUCCACG
This 769-nucleotide ribosomal RNA is filed under the name uncultured bacterium. RNAcentral describes it as "bacterial SSU rRNA". It matches the Rfam family "Bacterial small subunit ribosomal RNA", at positions 37 to 799 of the family's 1533-position model. The record is from RNAcentral.